GCGCCCAUAGCUCAGUUGGAUAGAGCAUCGGCCUUCUAAGCCGAGGGUCCCAGGUUCGAUUCCUGGUGGGCGCG
This 74-nucleotide transfer RNA is filed under the name Nannocystis bainbridge. RNAcentral's name for it is "tRNA-Arg". It matches the Rfam family "tRNA". From Rfam's summary of the family: Transfer RNA (tRNA) molecules are approximately 80 nucleotides in length. Their secondary structure includes four short double-helical elements and three loops (D, anti-codon, and T loops). The record is from RNAcentral. Lineage: Bacteria; Pseudomonadati; Myxococcota; Nannocystales; Nannocystaceae.